Lates calcarifer (barramundi perch) is the source of this 510-nucleotide long non-coding RNA. RefSeq lists it as uncharacterized. NCBI's taxonomy places the organism in Eukaryota, Metazoa, Chordata, Actinopteri, Centropomidae. The transcript has 2 exons. The record is from RefSeq and is a predicted model, not a curated record.
AGACUUAAAUAGCUACUUGAGCUACUGCGACCACUAGAGUGCAGUUCAAUGUGGAUUGCACAACAACAUCACCAGCUUAGACCAUAUACUGCUCGUGUUUACUAGCCAUCUCUGUGGACGGUUUGUCAUUUUGUUGUUUGUGGGCUACGCUGCAGAUGACACAAGCACUGAAGUUGCUGAGAUUGCUAAAAGAUGUGAGGCAGACCCACAACGUUUGCAACAAAGGAGCUGUACAUGAUGGCAGACUGAAAAUCGAUCAGUUGUCCAGGCAACAGCACUGGCUACUGUUCGGCCACGUGCGCAGUGCUGCCGGGUCAGGAUGAAAAGGCCUGGAGGGGGCAAUGCAAAUCACCCAUCGCGCCCUGCCAAAGAUCCACAUAGAAAUCCUGGGUAUAAGCCUGCCCUGGGGUUUUUCCUCCAGCCAUGGUGCAACACCUCUGUGUGUCAUUAGCGCUCUGGUGUGAAAGAUCUCUGUCAUUCACAUAAAUAAAUUAAAGUAAUUCCAGGGUU